UACGUAGGGUGCAAGCGUUAAUCGGAAUUACUGGGCGUAAAGCGUGCGCAGGCGGUUUUGUAAGACAGGCGUGAAAUCCCCGAGCUCAACUUGGGAAUGGCGCUUGUGACUGCAAGGCUAGAGUAUGUCAGAGGGGGGUAGAAUUCCACGUGUAGCAGUGAAAUGCGUAGAGAUGUGGAGGAAUACCGAUGGCGAAGGCAGCCCCCUGGGACGUCACUGACGCUCAUGCACGAAAGCGUGGGGAGCAAACAGG
RNAcentral lists this ribosomal RNA (253 nucleotides) under uncultured bacterium. RNAcentral describes it as "partial 16S ribosomal RNA". It matches the Rfam family "Bacterial small subunit ribosomal RNA", at positions 524 to 776 of the family's 1533-position model. RNAcentral also lists the same sequence under 1 other name. The record is from RNAcentral.